Oreochromis aureus is the source of this 224-nucleotide long non-coding RNA. RefSeq lists it as uncharacterized. The transcript has 3 exons. The record is from RefSeq and is a predicted model, not a curated record. NCBI's taxonomy places the organism in Eukaryota, Metazoa, Chordata, Actinopteri, Cichliformes, Cichlidae.
GGAGUCCCUCCUCUAAAACCACUCUGUGUGGGGAACAUGAGAGCCAGACCAAAGCUCAGAGGAACCCACCUGGACCUCCACCCAGCUCUGUGUCCUUACAGAGUGACACGUCUAAAGGUGAACCCAUUCAUUUUAAAGUCCAGCCUGUGUCUGCUGCAGAGAGAGUGGACCAGCAGAGCUCAGAGGCUCCCAGUGGUCAGUCUGCCCAGCAGCAUCAAACACAG